RNAcentral lists this long non-coding RNA (1439 nucleotides) under Nicotiana tabacum (common tobacco). RNAcentral's name for it is "long non-coding RNA (NTAB_LNC006221)". The record is from RNAcentral. Lineage: Eukaryota; Viridiplantae; Streptophyta; Magnoliopsida; Solanales; Solanaceae.
GGUUCGAAAAUUAAUUCUAUCAUAUUAAAUUGCAAGACACAUGAGAUAUGUAUACAACUGAUACUAGGUUGAAGCUGGAAUCCAACUGCCUAGGCCCAAUGGCCCAGGUCAGACUUGCUUGAAUGAGCCCAAUACUUGAGUCUGCUUGCAAUUGCAACCUAGUUCGAAAUUCACAUACAUCUCCCAAACAUAUUCAUUGCACCAAACAAAGAAAAUUUACUACUGUAAGCCUACUGAUAAUCGAGCUUAAGUUAAAAUUAACAGUCCAUUUACAGCAUUGAAAGUCCCAUAAUUUAUACAUUGAAGCCUUUAAUCAGUAUCCUAACAGCUAUUAUCUAAAGGAAAUUCUAAAAGAAAAGUAAAGAAGUACAAAAAAUUGAAAGCUUCUUCUGGUUUGAAAUUCCUUCCAUCAAUUUCUUCAAGACCAAAGCAUGAGAUCUGCAAGAGGUCAGCUACUGAGCUGCUUUUCACAAGUUGUUCUUAGACUCCCAACCUGAAGUUUCUUACUACCAAAUCAACCUCUGUUUUCUAAGUAUUUUUUUUAUGGAUCUAACCAUGUGAAAAAGUCAAAUUCAUAAAAAACUACUUCAGUUAUACUAACAUUCUAUACUGUCAGGCCCAACACUUAUACACCUAAUGCAGAAAACAGUAACGAUUCAUGAGUUUAACCAUGUUAAGUGUUAAACACAUGAAACACCACAAGUUUCAAGCUCAAAAUCAUGGCAGGCUGCUUUGGUGAAGUGCUAAAAUGAACUCAAAGGGAGUGAAAAAAAGGGAGGCUUAGUCUAUGGACCUGACCAUGUAGGGGUCAGGCUCAAUGAACCAGCCUGGUUUUGAGAAGGGGAAAGCUUGAACAUAUGGACUAAUCAUUGCAAGAAUAAAAGCAACGCAUACUAGCAGGAAAGAAUUAACACUAUCAAAGAGGUUAAAGCAUUAUUAUAGAAACUAGGGGUAAAGAAAUUCAAGCAUUUUUGAGAUAAAGAACAGCCAUAACACCAUUGCAAUUUCAACAUGCAAAACUCAACAAGACAUACAUGAACAGUGCCAAACAAGGAAAAACAACUCAUAUUCAUCUUAAGUCUCAAUUACAUAGCAGUCAAAAUAGGAAAAGAUUUACAUAUACCUUGACAGAGCAAUGAUAUAACAACUGCAAUGAGGGUAAGACUGUUGGAAAAGGUUCAGGAGCAGAAAGCAGCAGCAAUGACCAAACAGCUUUAGCAAAACUAAAGAAACCCCAAAAUUUCAAAACCAGAAUGCCACUUGAAAAGUCAAAAGUCCCAACAAAAACAUAAAAAUAUUCUUCUUUUCAACUCAUUUUCAGCUUGUUAACAGCAGGAGAUUUUUUUUUUUCUUUUUUUGAAGUUUUUCUAAGAUUUCCUUAAGUCUGAAAUUCAGAGAAGAAAGAAAUUUUUUCUGCAGAGAAUGGUGUUGAGUCCGUG